AAGAAAGGAUCCCGCAGAUGGAGCUUGGACGCAUAUGUCGAUGUGGAGCUGAAUUGCCGAGUUCGAAAGGCAGCGAGUGCCCGAACAUUGUUUGUCUGUUGACAUGGAGACACUGCUUUGGGCAUCCACCAAAGGGCUGGGUUUCUGACCGCAUACCUCAUUCUGAAAUGACGCCAUCACUGUAGGUGUGCUAAAUAUAUCCCUUAGAUGCAAAACCCUGGAUAGCGAAACCGAAUUUGAUUAUUUCUACCCGUCCAACGUGUGCAAAAUUAGGAAAUGGGAACCUUAUUUAAAGGAC
RNAcentral lists this small RNA (298 nucleotides) under Histoplasma capsulatum var. duboisii H88. RNAcentral describes it as "Histoplasma capsulatum H88 hypothetical RNA". Lineage: Eukaryota; Fungi; Ascomycota; Eurotiomycetes; Onygenales; Ajellomycetaceae. The record is from RNAcentral.